UACAGAGGGGGCAAGCGUUGUUCGGAAUUACUGGGCGUAAAGGGCGCGUAGGCGGCCCGCUAAGUCGAACGUGAAAUCCCCGAGCUCAACUCGGGAACUGCGUCCGAUACUGGUGGGCUUGAAUCCGGGAGAGGGAUGCGGAAUUCCAGGUGUAGCGGUGAAAUGCGUAGAUAUCUGGAGGAACACCGGUGGCGAAGGCGGCAUCCUGGACCGGCAUUGACGCUGAGGCACGAAAGCGUGGGGAGCAAACAGG
This 253-nucleotide ribosomal RNA is filed under the name uncultured bacterium. RNAcentral describes it as "partial 16S ribosomal RNA". It matches the Rfam family "Bacterial small subunit ribosomal RNA", at positions 524 to 776 of the family's 1533-position model. The record is from RNAcentral.